UACGCACAGCUCAGUAACACGUGGCUAACCUACCCUUGGGACGGAAACACCCCCGGGAAACUGGGGCUAAUUUCCGAUAGGUGAAGACUCCUGGAAUGGAUUUUCGCCUAAAGGGCGUUUAGAGCAUGCUUCUAGGCGUUGCCCAAGGAUGGGGCCGCGGCCGAUCAGGUUGUUGGUGAGGUAAUGGCCCACCAAGCCUUUAACCGGUACGGGCCGUGGGAGCGGUAGCCCGGAGAUGGGCACUGAGACAAGGGCCCAGGCCCUACGGGGCGCAGCAGUCGCGAAAACUUCGCAAUAAGCGAAAGCUUGACGGGGCCAUCCCGAGUGCCAUCUGCUGAGGAUGGCUUUUACCCAGUAUAGAUAGCUGGGAGAAUAAGGAGAGGGCAAGUCUGGUGUCAGCCGCCGCGGUAAUACCAGCUCUCCGAGUUGUAGGGAUGUUUAUUGGGCCUAAAGCAUCCGUAGCCGGCUGGACAAGUCCUCUGUUAAAUCCAGCGACCAAUCGUUGGUCUGCGGGGGAUACUGUCCGGCUAGGGGGCGGGAGAGGCCGUCGGUAUUCCUGGGGUAGGGGUGAAAUCCUAUAAUCCCAGGAGGACCACCAGUGGCGAAGGCUGUCGGCUAGAACGCGCCCGACGGUGAGGGAUGAAAGCUGGGGGAGCGAACCGGAUUAGAUACCCGGGUAGUCCCAGCUGUAAACGAUGCAGGCUAGGUGUUAGGGCGGCUACGUGCCGCUCUAGUGCCGNAGGGAAGCUGUUAAGCCUGCCGCCUGGGGAAACGCCCGGAAGCUGAAC
RNAcentral lists this ribosomal RNA (788 nucleotides) under uncultured soil archaeon. RNAcentral describes it as "bacterial SSU rRNA". It matches the Rfam family "Archaeal small subunit ribosomal RNA", at positions 80 to 855 of the family's 1478-position model. The record is from RNAcentral.